UACGGGGGGAGCAAGCGUUGUUCGGAAUCACUGGGCGUAAAGGGCGCGUAGGCGGUUUGACAAGUCUGAUGUGAAAUCUCUGGGCUCAACCCAGAGUCUGCAUUAGAAACUGUCGGGCUUGAGUAUGGGAGAGGUGAGUGGAAUUUCCGGUGUAGCGGUGAAAUGCGUAGAUAUCGGAAGGAACACCUGUGGCGAAAGCGGCUCACUGGACCAUAACUGACGCUGAGGCGCGAAAGCUAGGGGAGCAAACAGG
Molecule: ribosomal RNA, 253 nt
Filed under: uncultured bacterium
Lineage: Bacteria
Description: partial 16S ribosomal RNA
Rfam family: Bacterial small subunit ribosomal RNA
Source: RNAcentral